GCCUUAUGGAAAUGGUUAUUGUUAAUCCAAGUCUUUUCACUGAGUUUUAUUAAAAACAAGAAAACCACGUAGUUUUUAAAUCUCUGUGGGUAUUGAAAUAGACAUAUGGAGAUAAUAAAUAUUAUUCACGUUUCUUAUCUAAUGUUAGUUAUUUCCUAGAUAUUGAUGUGUUCUUACAUAUAAAUGGAUGAAGUUUUAAUCACAGGCAAUAGUUUAAAAGGAGGCAAAUGUGGCUCAGUAAGAAAGAAGAAUAAUGACUCAUCUGUAUGUAUACCACUAAUUCUCUCUUCCUAGUUUAGAUAUGAACAUGUAGACAGGUACAUGAAGAUCAUUUCUAUUCUGGGUUCUUUCUAUUCUGGAUUUCUGUCAUUUUCUUUGUGUGUUUGUAUAUUUGAACAUAUGAUCACAUAUUCCAUGAAUAGUUCCAUACCUGAAUAAAUACAACAGUGAACAGUUGAAUUAAUGUGAGUAGGGUCAAACAUCAGAGAAGGCGGUGGCACCCCACUCCAGUACUCCUGCCUGGAAAAUCCCAUGGACGGGGGAGCCUGGUGGGCUGCCAUCUAUGGGGUUGCACAGAGUCGGACACGACUGAAGUGACUUAGCAGCAGCAGCAGCAGCAGCAGCAGGGUCAAGCAUAGACUUUGAAUGAAGACUGUGGCUGCUUCAAUCAAUCUUCUCUGAGGAAGAUCUUGGCUGUUACCUUUGUGGAACGGAUGCUCAAUGAUUCAAUUAAGGACUGUAGAAACUUUUGAGCUCUAGAAUGGAUGCCUAUUAGCAGAUUUCAGCAUCUCCCAUGGUCAUGUGCUCUGCAGACUAAGAACGGACCAGUGGGGCUGGCUGGAAAGCUCUUCCACGGACGCGCUCUCUGGUUGCCUCCAUGCUUUCGGUGUAUAGAGGCCCACAAAGAGAACCCGGAAGUUCAUGGUGGCCUCACUGUAGCAGCCUUAAGCCCACUAAUCAAUGCACUCAAGCGGAUGCAUGCGUUUUCCAUGACUUCCUUUGUGUGUUGAGAGCCUAGAGAAGAACAAUGGACGCACAGCAGUGGGUUUAAGGAUCUUCCGUGGUCUUGGGCUCUACAGACUGAUAAUGGAUGCACCUGAAUUUAUUAAGCAUUCGACUGUGAUCAGGGCCUCUGCUGGUUUUCCUGUGUAUAAAUACAUGUGGGUCAUAAUGGAUCCUACAAGCUGAUUUCAGCUUCUGCUCUGAUUGAGAUCAUCAUGUUGCCUCUGUCAGGAGGGCGACAAAGGUUUUCCCUAAAGAUUCCUUAGUUGAUAGCAGUGUAAGCUAUUUUCAUCAUGAGGAAGAGCACACUGGAGAUAAUGAACUGAACUAAUGUAGCCCUUCUGCCAUGGCAGUGAAUGCUGUAUUAGGAGCAAAGAGACAAAUGGUGGGUUCUCAAUGCUGUUCAAGUUUCAACCAUGAUUCCUGUGAUCAAAAAAUUUAUGGCUGCAUCUAUGUGUAGGAACCAGUAACAGAUACUGGAGUGGACUUCAGCUUCUGCCACAGUGAAGAUUAUCAUAAUGACUCUGUCAGGAAAGAGACCAAGACUGGACAUACUUGAGAUGAUUUAACCAUCUUCCAUGAUCCCAAGCCCUUUGGUUGCCUCUAUACAUUCAUUAGAAGUAUGGAGGCCAGUUACUCCGCAGAAUGGAUGCCCUUGAGCUGACUUAAGCAUCUUCCACGGUCU
RNAcentral lists this long non-coding RNA (1687 nucleotides) under Bos taurus (domestic cattle). Its description in RNAcentral is "LINC24065-v1". The record is from RNAcentral. Lineage: Eukaryota; Metazoa; Chordata; Mammalia; Artiodactyla; Bovidae.